This 465-nucleotide ribosomal RNA is filed under the name Bergeyella zoohelcum. RNAcentral's name for it is "bacterial SSU rRNA". It matches the Rfam family "Bacterial small subunit ribosomal RNA", at positions 9 to 467 of the family's 1533-position model. Lineage: Bacteria; Pseudomonadati; Bacteroidota; Flavobacteriia; Flavobacteriales; Weeksellaceae. The record is from RNAcentral.
GAGUUUGAUUAUGGCUCAGGAUGAACGCUAGCGGGAGGCCUAACACAUGCAAGCCGAGCGGGAUUUGUUGGUUAGCUUGCUAACUAACAAUGAGAGCGGCGUACGGGUGCGUAACACGUGUGCAACCUGCCUUUAUCUGGGGGAUAGCCUUUCGAAAGGAAGAUUAAUACCCCAUAAUAUAUUGAUUGGCAUCAGUUAAUAUUGAAAGCUCCGGCGGAUAGAGAUGGGCACGCGUAAGAUUAGCUAGUUGGUGAGGUAACGGCUCACCAAGGCUGCGAUCUUUAGGGGGCCUGAGAGGGUGAUCCCCCACACUGGUACUGAGACACGGACCAGACUCCUACGGGAGGCAGCAGUGAGGAAUAUUGGACAAUGGGUGAGAGCCUGAUCCAGCCAUCCCGCGUGAAGGACUAAGGACCUAUGGUUUGUAAACUUCUUUUAUACAGGGAUAAACCUACUCUCGUGAGG